CACGUAGUGGCCAAGCGUUGUCCGGAUUCAUUGGGCGUAAAGAGCUCGUAGGCGGUUCAGUUAGUCGGGUGUGAAAUCUCCGGGCUCAACCCGGAGGGGCCACCCGAUACUGCUGUGACUCGAGUCCGAUAGGGGAGUGGGGAAUUCCUGGUGUAGCGGUGAAAUGCGCAGAUAUCAGGAGGAACACCGGUGGCGAAGGCGCCACUCUGGGCCGGUACUGACGCUGAGGAGCGAAAGCGUGGGUAGCAAACAGG
Molecule: ribosomal RNA, 254 nt
Filed under: uncultured bacterium
Lineage: Bacteria
Description: partial 16S ribosomal RNA
Rfam family: Bacterial small subunit ribosomal RNA
Source: RNAcentral